Non-coding RNA from Paramuricea clavata, 325 nucleotides. Lineage: Eukaryota; Metazoa; Cnidaria; Anthozoa; Malacalcyonacea; Plexauridae. The record is from the annotation of a GenBank genome assembly.
GAAGAUGGCUGUGAAACUCAUUAGAAUAACAAUAUAACUCAUUAUCUAUGUUAGUCAACGUUUAUUAAUAAAUCUAGUCCUUCACCGUCACAUGUGUAUUGUAUUUUUGCCAAAUCCACCAAUAGCAAUUUCCAAUUUCCCUAUUAUGGUGUUCGAGUCACGGAUAGGUAUAACUUUCCUAAAAUAUUGCUAUUGGUUAGUUGGGCGAAAAUACAAUGCACACGUGACGGUGAAGACCAGAUUUAUGAAUAAACGUUGACUAAACAUAGAUAAUGAAUAGAUAAUGAGUUAUAUUGUUAUUCUAAUGAGUUUCACAGUAAUCUUC